Molecule: long non-coding RNA, 27726 nt
Organism: Gasterosteus aculeatus aculeatus (three-spined stickleback)
Lineage: Eukaryota; Metazoa; Chordata; Actinopteri; Perciformes; Gasterosteidae
Source: Ensembl
GCUGGUGAGUGUUUUUGUUUGAAACCAAACUGAAAGGCAAUCCAUACGGGUUGGCAUACUGGGCUACCCAGUGCAUUAGAAAGUGACCUGACAUUAAUCUUUGAAGAGUUGUGAUAAAAAUGUUUGGGAAUUAGACCACAGCCAGUCCAAAAACCUGUGAUACUUUCAGAGUUAUAACAGAGGAGGCCAGAGAGCAGGAGUGAAAGUGAAACGAGUAGAAGAUGAAAUGGAAAAGUGAAAAGAUAACAAUGCAGCAGCAUGUGGUCCAACAAGUGGACGUCCCAAGGUGACUUUGACUUUAAGAUAUUGCCACUUGCCUGAGGCUUUCUUAGCAUUUUUCAUUAUGUGUUGAAUAGGAGAGAUGUCUGCCUGUGGUGAGUGAUGUGUUGAACUCUUAGCCUCUGCGGAGAGAUGGCUGCUCAACCGGACAUUCUGCAGCGGUGAAUUAAACACGACCCAUUUAGAAUUCAGCCCUCUUUAGAAGCGAGAAGUGGACAAUGCAGUCAGUAAAAAACUUGUUGCAGCGUUUCCAGGUCCACAGGGGGUGGGCGAGGGGAAAAACGACCGGUGUUGCAUUUUAAAAGGAGGAUCUCAACCCCUCUUUAUGAGAUUGAAAUUACCGCGCAGGAUGCAUCUGCUCUGCAGCAGGAGGAAUUCAACCAAAAGUGUUUUUGGAAGAGGGGAAACAUUCACCUGAAGCGCUCUGCCCGUUUAACGACAAGUGAGCAGUUCUUUUGUUUAACUUUCACGAUUGAUGGGUGACAGGAAAGCUUAAAGUAGAAUGUUAUAAAAAAUCCCUGAGAAGCAGGAGUGGAAAGAGAGUGAAGCAUGAGAGAGAUGAAACCUUUUUUUCUCCGACAGGAAAUCGUUUGCCUCACUUACCCUGUGGUUUCAUUAAUAAUUUGCAGAAACAUUGUCGAAGAGAAGGGGAACCAAUGCACCCAAUGUUGAAUUUAACAUUUAUUCAAGUCUAUAAGAAUUGAUGUAAAAUUGGUUGUAAAGUAAAAUCAAACUGACAAUGAACCCCUUAUUUGGUCAGUUUUGUUUGUUUAAACUCAAAUUGACAGUAUUACUGCAGUGUUUUCUUUUUAGUGUUUCUGAGGUAAAAUUCCAAUGUUCACUAAAUUACAUUUAUGUGCUUAUUAGACGAUUGAAAGUCAGCACUUUCAGUGAGCAGUGAGCUUUACGUCAAUGACUGAUGUUAAAAGCCACUAACCAACCAUGAAUCUAGGUGUAAUAGUAAUAAAUAAUUCGGACCUCAAAAUGAACAGCCACAACAAGACAGUUCCAAAAUCAGCCUAUCAUCUAAAAGAAUAUAAGGAAGGAUUAGAGGACUUGCGUCUCAACAUCAUUUGGAAAAGACUACUACUUUAACGGUGUGUCCACAAGUCAAUCAGAAAGCUACAGCUGAUAUAUAUUUUCGGGUUGAAUAUAGUUUUGACUCUUUGACAAUAAAAUAUAUAUUUUUUCAUUCUUCACUUAUAUUUAUUUUUUGAUAUUCACUGUUAUUUUUUUCGGUUGCAGAUUUUUUUCGGUUGCAGACAUUUUCCUGUUGGUGCUAGGUCAACAUUUCAGUGAUUGCUUAAGAAAUAUACAGCACUCCAAUGAAAUGAUCAUUUAUGUGGAUGUUUUGUGGAGACAUCUUUUCUCAGUACAAAUUGGAAGGUAUAAUAUGCAUCCAUCCAUCCAUCCAUCCAUCCAUCCAUCGUCAAACCGCUUAUCCUGCACACAGGGUCGCGGGGGGCUGGAGUCCAUCCCAGCCAACUUCGGGCGAUAGACAGGGUACAUCCUGGAUUGGUCGCCAGCAAAUUGCAGGGCUACACAGAGACAUACAACCAUUCACACAUCUACGGGCAAUUUAAAGUCCCCAAUUAACCUGAUCCCCAGAGCAUGUCUUUGGACUGUGGGAGAAAGCCGGAGAACCCGGAGAGAACCCACGCAGACACAGGGAGAACAUGCAGACUCCACACAGAAAGGCCACUGGGCGGAAUCGAACCCAGGACCUUCUUGCUGUGAGGCGACAGUGCUAACCACCACGCCACCGUGCCGCCCACAGGUAUAAUAUCAAUACUAACAAUUAUGAUAAAUAAAAAUAAGCACAAUCAUAAUAAUAACGUUGUCCAGCCCAGGAUUUUCUAAUUUUUUAGGAUAUUUGUUGAAUAAAAAUUAUUUUCAUAUGGAAAAGAAAACCGUGUGGACAAAGAUUGAUUAAUGCAGCAGUAGUAAUAAUGACAGCAUGUAGAUAAUGUAAAAAGGUAUAUUUGCAUAGGUUGUGUUGAUGGCAAAAAAUCUUAAAAUGUAGCACAAAACUGAUAGUGUUAACUAAAAGUAUCUAUUAAAGUGUCCAUUUGUUUUCCUCUUGCUCUUACCUACAAUAUGGAUGGUAACUUAAGUUGUAUUUAAACCUUCUUAAAUUGACAUUCAAGACUCAAAUUAUCUGUAAACAAAAACAUCACUGCCGCUCUUGUGAUCUAAUGUAUCUUUGUUGCGAUGCUGACCAAUUAUCAGAAGUAACUGAUGCAGAUGAUGAGGAUUUAACAGUCCAGUGCCAACCUUCUUUACACAGGGAGGCUGAAUGACGAGUUGUGCAACACUUGGAACACAAAUUCAGCUCAUUCAUACACAUUGCAUACUUGCACCCAUUGUGCACACUUGUGUCAUCCGAUGUAUCUUUCCUCAAAAACUGAGCAGAUCAUACCUACUGCCCGACUUCUCAGGUUGGUAACUUUAGGUAGUUGUCAUGAUGGACAGAGUGUUUCAUGUAACAACAAACGGUGAAUACGGUUCUGUUAGCUGUUGAAACCUGGAACUCACACUUUGCUUUAUGGCAGGGGGUCACUAAUGGGACCUAAUGCACCUUCACUAAACUUGUUCAGAGGUCCAGGAAACACAACAACCAAUAAAAUGCAUUAUAUAUCCUCAUCAGCCAAUCACAUGUCUAAUACAAUAAGGAUUGCAGCUUGAGAUGAGCACAGAUAUUAUGUACAAAUCCCUCCACGAGAGGCUAAACAGUCAAAGUAUGUCAGUUAUUUCACAUGACGCUCUUCAAAAAGACAAACGUGGUGAAUGCGAUCCUUGGACAAUGGAAAGACUUAAAAAUAAAUUACGAAAACCAGGAUGUCUCAUAAAUGUUCAGAGGCCGUGAUGAAAAGCAGCAAUGUGAAGUACCACUUUAAACAAAGAACUCUCUGAAGAAAACAUACCCAAUCAUAUCCAAAAUAAAACAGACUAUUCGAUCAAAAUCCUAACAAUGUUUUGAUGGUCUGUUAACACCCAUAUAUGUGUGCAGGUGUUCUUUUUCUUAUUUUUACAUGUGCAUGUCAUCUAAAACUGUAAAACGCAAGUCUAGUCUGUCCAUUCCGGGAGUGGGAUCCCUCCUCUGACGUUCUCACUGAGGUUUCUUCCCUGUUUUUCAUUUUUGGGGGAGUUUUUCCUGUGCCCAUGUGAGGGUUUCGGGACAGAGGAUGUCGCAUGUGUACAGACUGUAAAGCCCUCUGAGGCAAAUUUGUAAUGUCUGCCUUCCCUACACACGAAGAAUCAAGUGACGAUGAGAGAGAUGGAGCUGAUUUAGGAUAUACAAAGGAUCCAUAUUCAAAUGACUCAGAUCUUGUUACAGAAUCUGAUUCUGGAGAUGAAGAUCCUAAUUUAGCUAGAGAUUUAGCUAAUUGGGCUACCAACACUAAACAAACACACAGAAAUGUCAACGAACUUCUCCUUGUUCUGAGAAAACAUGGGUCUCACCUUCCCAAAGAUGCUCGCACACUGCUUUCCAUCCCAUGGGCAGUUAGUUGUAUACACAUAUGCAAUGGACAAUAUUUAUAUUAUUGCCUAGAGAGGAGCCUCUUGCAACACAGUGUCCAAAUUUCACAGGACAUAUUCAGUUAGUUUUAAAUGUAGAUAGCGUUCCUCUUUUUAAAAUGUCCAAAUUGCAGUUUUGGCCUAUAUUGGCUUUAUUCCAAAAGGCCAAACCAUUCCUGGUAGCACUAUUUUGUGCUAAAGAAAAGCCCGCAAAAGUCAAUAAAUAUUUAUAGGACUUGAUCGAGGAAAUUAAGUCUCUGCAGCAAAAGUGUUUAGUUUAUGAGGGCAUUGCAUCAGGUCAAAUGAAGGCGGCAAGGGCUUUCUUAAAGUGCAUUACUGGCCAUAAUGGAUUACAAGGAUGCGAGCGGUCUGUGGCAACUACCGUAACUGUCCAGAGAAGGGUCACCUACCCCUCCAAAGACAUUUUUUAGUCCAGGUCAGAUGCAGCUUUUUAUCAAGUCUUUUAUGCAGGCCAUCAGAAACAAUAAUCACCUCUGCUGGAGUCCUAUGUGUUAAAUAUUUGCCUUGGACUAUAUGCACCUAGUUUGUCUUUGUGUAGUAAAAAGUUUGCUUAUUUAUCUGUUGCGUGGACCUGAGAAUUGCACGCUGGCACCAAUACUGAGGCAGGAAAUCUCAUAACGCAUGAUAAGGCUGCAGGGUGUCACGCCAACAGAGUUUGCAAGGCAACCUCGUUCUUUCCAAGAAAUCGAUCGCUGGAAGGCAACAGAGUUCCGCCAGUUCCUGUUGUACCCAGGGCCUGUGGUUCCACUAGGCACCUAUUUGGACAACUUCUACGAACACUUUCUUCCAUUGACUGUGGACAAUUCAAUUCUCCUAGAGUCUGAUUCUGAGAAGAGGGAGGCAUAUCUUGGUUAUGCUUCCACCCUACAAUGUCCACAGUUGUGUAGCAUUUGGAUGAGGAUAUUACACACUUCCAAGUGCUCACUGAACGAUGUGUCGUCCUUCCCAUUUGAGAAUCACCUACAGGCAUUAAAGAUGGUGAGGAACAGCAAAAAUCUCAGGUCCUCAGGUGACGAAAACAUUGGCUGAGAUGGAACAUCACCAAAGGCACACAGGGCGGCAAAAACACACGUUCUCCUUGUUGCGUCAAUCUCCGGUCACAAGCCGCACAGAGCACUCAAGGUCCAUAUCCACCCCGGACAGUCGGAGCACACCCAGACUGCAGGGGGCGACGAUGCGGCUAAUGGUGAUUCCACCCACAGGAAGUGCCUGCGUACAAACAGGAAGCGCAUGGCAUAAAAUGUUUGUGGAGAGCUCAGAUGGCCCUCUCACUCGGUCCUGAGGAAAAGGACACUGUGACCACAGCUCCUUAUCUCCCAGAGAGAUUCUUUGUCUGUUCUUUGUCUGAUCCACCGAACCACCCUUAAGAGAAAUAAAGGAUCAUAAAAUCAACAGUUCUUGAGUUGUCCUUUGCGUCCACGGGAGAGGAAGCUCUUUUCAAGUUUGGGCAGAGUCGUAGUCAGUCCGAAAAAUCACACGAAACUUGACACUCCUCAAAGAUGACCGUCAUGACUUUGUGUUGUAGAAAAGAUCCAACGGUACUCUUGUUGCAGAAACAAGACCUAUUUGAGAGUCCCUGGAAGUCAAAGCUCCUUCUCAUAGUUUGUCAGAAGUCCCAUGGAGAAAGCAAAAAUAUGUCUGUUGCAGCCCAAAGACUUGCAUAGAAAAGCAGUGUGUGCCGUGUCCAAGAAACUGUGUUAGUCCAGGCAUAGUUGUCAUGAUGGACAGAGUGUUUCAUGUAACAACAAACGGUGAAUACGGUUCUGUUAGCUGUUGAAACCUGGAACUCACACUUUGCUUUAUGGCAGGGGGUCACUAAUGGGACCUAAUGCACCUUCACUAAACUUGAUCAGAGGCUCUUUUCAAGUUUGGGCGCCAGUGACGGUUGUUGACCGUCACUGGCGCCGUGUUUUCCGAGGCAGGUCUGUUGUGCAGGCAGCUCGUGUGCGUGUGGCGACCGUACAAUCCACCUCGACACCCCGCCAACAACGCCGUCCCCUCCGUCCGACGUGAGCUCCACGGUGGCGGAUUUCCACCUCGUCAUCAGCCAGCACACUUUGUCUCGAUUCCAGCAGCUGUAAAAACAACAAUGAAUCAGUACUGUGCGAUGCGUACGGACACAACACAGCGAUCAAUGCACCUGAAACAAGUCAGCAAAUAAACUCUGACCGUCUUUCUUCUCGCUCGACUCCGCGCUGAAUCCUUCGCAGCUUCCGCCCGCAAUGAGUGUUCCGCCUGAACCUGAAGCUCCUGCGUCCCCUCUCACAAUACGUCUCACAGGCGGCUGGAAAACAAUUAAAUGAGUGUGGUAUGAAUACAAAAAAAAUCGUAAGUCACAGUAACAUUUAACAAGGAAGGAGAAACAGUGUCACUUACACACAAUGACGUCGUCUAAAUCUGGACUUUUCCUGGAGCAAAUACGAGGUCACCGCCUCAUUAUGAGGCGAGAUUAGUCUGUGAAAACAAAAUGUACAGUUAUGAUCGUUAUCUAUACGUAUAUAUUCCCUUAUACCGCAGAAUGAAAGCAUAUUCUGUAAAUCUGACCCUUGCUCCGGUUCGUAGCGCCUGUAAUUCGUCUCGGAGUUGUGAAGACGGCGCACCGCUUCCUGUAAACGACACGGCAAAGAAAAUAGACUUUAAUAAAGCUGUUUCUGCUCACUUGUAAGGCUACUAGGCUACUCUUAGCUUAGCUUGAGGCUACGCUACUUUUAGCUUAGCUUGCAGUUAUCGAACGUAUUCUUACCGCUUUCUUGGGAUUGUGCGCCCGUCUCCUCUUCUUUGAGUCGGUUCCUCUCCUCCAUGGACAGAAACCUGGAGAUUCCCGAACGCGAACCGCUCGUUGAUAUCGGCAAUUUGUUGCUGGAGUUGACGAGACGAUCCACUGAGAGCUUUCAGCAGCUUCUUCUCGUCUGUCUGCGGACUGGCUGAAAGUUGGUGACCGCGGAGAGGAGUUGAACGCAAGACGUCGUCCAGCCAUUAUUCACGAAGCAGCAAAAACCAAACAAAGGAACUGGAGAUACAGUUCUUCUGAAUAUAGUAACACACGCGUGUCUGUUUGUGUGCUCGUCUUGCAAGUACUGCUGUCUGAGUCAUGUCUAUGACCUCACACGUGAUUGGACGAGGAGUCUAAGGGUCCUCCAAUCAGAUACGAGGUUAUUGUUAGACAGAAGGACCAGUAUUUUAGGAAGACAAAUGGUUGGGACUUUGAAACAGCUAAUAUGCUUUAUGUAAAGCAGUGUUUUGGUGUCAGCAGAACGACUUUCCCUAGAAAUCUGUACAGUGGUGCCUCUUUCUCCAUUCCACCAGACACUCUUGGAUGAGUCUGACAGACAUGCAAUGUUGACAAUGUAUCAUCACAUGUACCCUUGUGUCACUGAGGUUGAAGGUUUUGCCAUGACAUGUAAACGGGUAACAUAUAUGAAUGUAACUUACUCAAUCGAUAGAUGCAGAGCAUAAAGGUCAGCAUGUGUUCAUGCUAAGUGGUGUGGAAACACUAACAGUUUUGAGGAACCCGUCCUUGACCCUCUAGCAGAACUACGACCAGCCAUUAUAAAGCAGUUUAUAGUUGUUAAUGUGGUGUCAAAGGGUACGGCAUUUAAACAUGUUCUUGCACAAGUUUCCUGGCUUCAUCUCCACCCGGACAGACAUUUUUAUGGAAAGCCAAUAGAAGUUUGGGGCUUGCAGGGAACAGACACGUCAUACAGCAUCAUUUCUGCCAGUUGAGCGCAUUGCUAGAAGAUGUGUGGUUAAUACCUAUAUUUAAUAGGUUAAUAGUCUAUCUGAUGGUGGUUCUAUCUGAUGGUGGUUGCCCCUGCAGUGGUCCUGCUGUGCGCCUGGCUUACUACUCACAAUUACUUGAAUCAUUUCUGUCAUAGGAAUUGCAUGUAUUAUAUACUGUUCAUUCUGUACACAUGGCAUCCAUUGUAGUCUGUCCAUCCCGGGAGUGGGAUCCCUCCUCUGACGUUCUCCCUAAGGUUUCUUCCCUUUUUUCCCUCUUGUAAGGGUUUUUUCAUUUUUUGGGGAGUUUUUCCUGCGCCGAUGGUGGGUUUCGGGGCAGAGGAUGUUGUAUGUGUACAGACUGUAAAGCCCUCUGAGGCAAAUUUGUAAUUUGCGAUUAUGGGCUAUACAAAAUAAAAUGACUUGACUUGACUUAAUACAUCCUCUGUGCAUUUAAGUAGGACCAAAGAAAAGGUCAUUGUGGUCCUGCCACUAUGCACUGGAGUUGAGCUCUAGGAGACUGAUCUCUGCAGACCCCUCAUGCUGAUUCAAAUGUUGUGAAUUAUCUAAGGCAGUUAUUUGCAAUGACCUCCCCCUCCAGAUGGGAGGUUUAGGAGCCUGGGAGGGUCAUGUUACUCUGUAGGGAGUAUGAUGUGUGUAAGUAAAAGAAACAACACACCUAACUGCUCUGAAUACCAAAUAGCAUCUUGUGCUGCUGUCUUGUUUGGACACACCAGUAAAGUGCAGCUUUAUUCAGGAUGCACAAUGGAUCCAUGUCUCAGUGAAGAACUGGGAUCAACGGUCACUGACUGCUUUUACCCGUCUUGUUUUUCUACGACUGGCCAUGGGGCAGCAAGCAGCAGUCUUUGUAGUAGAGUAUCCUUAGGUCCCAGUUGGGUUAGGUUAUCUUCCAUUGGAGCUCUCCUUUCCAGAUGGUGAUGAAUUAUUUAUGUUUAGAAGAAAAAAAGCAACUAGUACUUUUAUUAUUUUUAUGCUAACGAGACAAACCCUGGUCAGAAGACCACAGCACCAUAACAAGGCUGCUGGGGGUUUAGAUCUGUCCUUAAGAAACAGGCAUCCAGUAUGAGGCAAUGUGUAAAUUCUUGCUCUUUAUUAAGGUUUAGAAUCUAGGGCAGAAAGUAAAUGGCUUUGGAGAGCUGAAGAGAAGUGACCAUUAUCCAGUCCCAUUUACUCCAGAGUUCAGGGCACAAUCACAUUCACACAAUCAAGUAUCAGCUUCCCUCCAUCUGGGGCCCAAACAAAGGAAACGCUGCAGUUCCUCAUCAAACUGAAUACGGAUUCCAUUUCCCUCAGGGAAAACAACACAAUGAAGAGCCAAGAGGGUUAAUGAUACUUUUGAAUAACUCUCCAUUUGGGCCAUUCGAGGUGGAAUUUUCUGAAUGAGUAAGUGAGAAAGAGCGAGAGGAACGUGCUCCGGGACAGUGAUCCCUUUCGAUUAUAAACAGGCACUGCUGCUUUAGCUUUUAAAAAUGAAUUAAGCUCAAGAACAAUCAGAAGGCAUUGUCAUGUAAAUGUGUGGGAUGUUUUGUUCUGUCAGGACACAUGUAAAAAUCUAAUGAAAGUGAACUCCAGGUUGUCUGUAUGUCAAAAGGUUUCCCAGCAACAGAUUCCCUUUAGAAAGUCUCAUUUUGCAUUCCUGGCUUCAUGUGGCUCCUGAUGGAUCGAGGCCUUCAAACUAGGACCAACACCUCUGCUCCUGUCUGGAGGAGGAAAGAAAACUUUCUAAUCAAUUUAUGGUUAUUUUUGUUGCUUCCACAUUUAGUUAACACAUUUUUUACCUAAGGAAUGAAUAUCUAGCCAGAUGGUUAGAUAUCCAUUCUUUUUCCAUCACCUCCCAGCUUGUUGUUACAAACACACACCUACAUAAUAUGUCUCUAACAGAUGCAACUGUUAGCAGCAUAAACUAUUCUCAUGUGUAUCCCCUAGUGACUAAUGAAUGGUAUGCAUGUCUCUGAUGCCAGCAACAGCGUGAUUUCACAAAAACAUGUAUUACUAUUGUACUAUCAACACAUUUUAUUAUGACUAAAAAGCAAGAUUGACAUGGUUCUUGUUCACAGAUUUAGGUAUUAUUACUUUUCUGCACUGGAUUGCUUUAUAUUUUUUAUUUCUGAAAUCCUUCUUUAAAGAUCACUUGGCUGAAAAGUAACCUUCUAUAAAAAAUUAUGAAUAAAAAUAACUAGCAUUUAGCUUCAUAUUUGUAUAGCCGAGCAUACUCUAAAUGUUAAAGCCACUUUACCUCCAAUUUUGUCUUCAGCACUAUAAAAGUCAUGUACCUCCCAUGGAAACAGCACAACCAUGGCAAGUAGUAGAGAAAACUCAGUCAUAAUGCCAUAAAAAAGAACACAAGCAGACACAAUUUAUAUAGAAAAUAAUAGGAUCAGUCGGCAAGUUCCACAAAUCUUCAGAAAUGUCUCUAGUUUACAAAUAAUUAUAACAAUAACAUGCCUUCCCCACAUACAAUGCCAUUCACAAAACCUACACACAUAAGAGUCCAAUAUGAGAUUAUGCUCCCUUGUACUAUACUUAACUUUGAUGACAUGGAAAAUUGAUCUGUGCCAGCUUGUGUUAUCGAUCACGCACACAAGAGGAAUUAUCAAUGCGAGAACCGUCACAUUUCAAGGUCCAUAGUCUAUGGACCACAGCAUUGCUGAUAUUAAAAAUAGGCUUCAAUUUAUACUGUUUAUCCAGCAGGAAUACGUUGGAUAAUUUACACCUACUUCGCUUUUUUAGGAAGGAUGUGGCGUUCUGACGAACCAGGCGAGGUCUGCCAACUAAAACCAGCUCGCCCGGUGGGUAAAGACCAUCUCACUGUUGAUGUGUUUGUGACACACCUUAUUUCACCCUUUCACAUUAUUUUAAGGUUACAAUAGGACAGCCAAUGCAUAUCAACUGAAUUAUUGGGGGCGAGGGCGCUAUUAGGCACAAACAAUGGCUGUCAGAGGCAGUCAAUUGACCCUUUGCUAAGCCCCCCUGACCCUGCUGCUACUCAUUCAAGGUAUCACAACAACCCACACUGUAUGAAUAAUAGGUUUAGUGCUUUCAGAGUGAAUUAGUUAAAAGCAUAUACAAUGUGUGCUUAAAUUUUACAUCCAGGCUGGAGGAACUGAAGCGUUUUUCCUACUCGUACUGCGCUAAGCAGCAACGGCUCUGAGCGUGCUGUACAUGCCAUGUACCGUAUUUCUGCGUUGAUGCUCAAUGCACUAUUCAUUGCCCUAUUCUCCAAAAUGCCAGACGACGAACAAAUAAAAUGAACUGAAAAUCACAAAGACAAAUGUAACAAGCAAAAAGCCAUUGGCCAAUAUCCACCUUGCCGAGGAGGAACUGUAAUUACUUUUUAACCCAUAUCUCGUAUUUAUGAACUACGUUAUGGUCUUUAUCCCUGUAGUUUCAGAGACCUUCAGCAAUUCUUUCCUUAAAAAACCUGUCGCAUGAAAUGCUAUUACACGUCUACACGCUAAUGCACUGCAAGCUGUUGAAGGCAUUUAAAUGCCGAUUCCAAAAUGGUAGCCGUUGCGAAGUAACUUAGUCAUUUCAGAAGGGACAUCAUUGAUGAAGCCACACCUGCCCUGAGGAGGACAUUAUCUCACCAGCAGUGUCAGCCAAUCUCAUUACUGAGUACAGCAAAGAGUGGCUUAACCAUACUCCUGGCCCCGGCUCACGUUCCUCAACACAGAAGAAGGAACAGUUGAUAGCUCCGUGGGGUUGUCCAUUGGCACUGUGCUGGUACACCUGCAAUUAGACACACAGCAGCCCAAACAUCAGCCUGUGAGUGCCUUCACUAGGAGCGUUCCCGCCUCCACACCCUUUUCUGUUCCUCCCUCAGAAGAAUAUCUGAGGCAGCAUGCCUGCUGGUGAGACACCAGGGCUCUGUCCUGUUUUGCGUCUGAAGGUCGAGUCCUGGCGGCCUUGCCCGUACGCCAGCCAAGUUUUCCCUGAGGAGACCCUGAGGCCUGAUGCUGGGUGCCCUCAUCCCCAAUGUCGGGUCAUUGACGAUCUUUAAUCUAAGGCUUAUGACGCACCAGCCCCCAUGGGCCGUACUGGGAACUCCCUUCCCCACCUCAUGCCUGCACUCUCGACUUCUCUGCAGCAGGCUGCUAUCAAAGCUUCCGCCACCGGCCUCAGUGACGCCUCACCGCAGGCGUUUGCCCUUGUGUCGAGGGUACUUGGACGUCAGAUAUCCACCCUGGUCCAGACUCGCCGUCAGGUUUGGCGGGGCAGACACCCCUGUCAGAGUCAUGUAGAAGGGUCCUCUGUAGUGGAACCUGGUGAGCUGCUCGGGUUAGAUGCUACACCGGCGCCUCAGCUAGACAGGUUGGGCACACACAACACUUUCAUCAUCAUUUUCUGUGACCGCUGUGAACUGCUAAACCCAGAACUGCUAAAGCUAAACCCAAUUAACAAUUGACAAUUAACUGCAUGCACACGGCUCUGAAAACCGAUUUGUGUUCUGGUGGAUGGCAGUUUACUAACAGCAAUAGUCAGAAAGGCAACAUUAGAACCUGAGGGGAAACCAAGGCUUUGGGCGUCAACAACAUCAGGGUGGCAGUGGUAUCCGCUAUAUGAACGCUGUGCAGUGUGGAGAAAGACAUUGCUUUCAUUCUUAUGACGGGUAUUUAACUACUCCGCUGAUGAUAUUCAAAAGUCAUUAAAAUUAACUAGUUUGCCUUUUGGUUUGUGUUAAGGUUUAAUGAAUUGGCAGGCCAUAUAUGAUGGGCUAUUUAUCUAAUACUUUUAUUUUCUGUGCUCCAUUUUGACCAUAAUUAUGUAUUAUGUUGUUGCAGAUUGCAGCUGUUGGGUGUAUUUUUGUGUUUGAAAGAAAAUAAUAGAGUAAAAGAGGAAGCUAGAGACCUUGCCUGGCUUUAAUUUUGUCCAAUUACUUGAUGUGGAGGAAGCACUGGAACAUGGAGAUCUUUCAGUUUAUUGAAAACCUUAUUUUGUACAGAAAGUUUCAAAAAGGUUUCCUGAACUUGAUGUGUCUUUGUCAUUUCUUGAAAUUAAGUUGGAGGAAAAAUAAUUUGCUCAAAUGUUAGAAGUGGUGAAAGUAAUACUUUACAAGGACGUAUUCCAAAUUACCUGGAUUUUUUGCACACGGUUUUAGUCAUACAAACUUUUCUGCACAUUCCUCACAAGUCAGAACAUUUGAGCAACAUUGCCUUGAAUCAUGUCUAGAGCUGUGACUUUGGGGGCUCACGACACACACUAGCCAUAUGUCUUGAUUCGUGGGCUGCCUCCUCAUGAGGACCCAGCCUUCGCGGUAGACCCUGGCUGGUUUCUCCAAUAAAUUUAAAUUAAAUCUGUUAAACCAUGUGCUUUCAGCUAAACAUUUUAACAUUGCAAUCUUAAGGCAGAGGAAAUCCAUCAAUACUGUAGACGAUGUUGAGCAUCUGUACUCCUCAGAAGCCUACACCAGGAUCCUAUUUUUGGAUUUUGGACAGUACAUUCAAUACAAUUAUGCAUGACAGGACCACCCGGGAAACUCUGGGGGUCAGCCCGGCGGGUGGCCAGACGAGCGGGGAGCCUCUGGGGGUCGGCCCGGCGGACGGUCACCAGGCCGGCUCCGGAGCGGCGACUGCACGGGGACACGGAAAACCUCCGCAGUCGGCGGCGGCGGCUCGGCGGCACGGAACACGUCCGCGGUCGGCGGCGGCGGCUCGGAACACGUCCGCGGUCGGCGGCGGCGGCUCGGAACACCUCCGCAGUCGGCGGCGGCACGGAACACCUCCGCGGUUGGCGGCGGCUCGGGGGCACGGAACACCUCCGCGGUUGUCGGCGUGAGGAUGCAGGAAGCCGGAGUUGCCAGCUGGAGGGAGCGGGAAGCCCCCGGAGUCGCUGUUGCAACCCCUGCCAUGACCCCCCCCUCAAGGGCCGGAUCCCAGACGGCCCUCAAAUCGGCAACGGGAGGGAGGGAGGGAACCUGAGUCGGGGAGCGGGGACCGGAGGCGUCAGAGUCAUGAGUCUCGUGGCUGGCACUGGCCGAGUCAAGGGCAUGGAUUGUGAGGCCGGUACUGGUCGGGGCGGGGGCAUGGAACGUGGGGCCGGUACCGGUCGGGGCGGGGGCAUGGAACGCGGGGCCGGUACCGGGGGCCGGGGGCAUGGAACGUAGCGCUGGCUCGGGGGCCGGGGGCAUGGAUAAUGGCGCUGGCUCGGGGGCAUGGAAAAUGGCGCUGGCUCAGGGGCAUGGAUCAUGGCGCUGACUUUGUUUUGACAUGGGACCUUCUUAAAAGGAAUCUUGAACGUAAUAGUUUAAAUAUGUACAGUCCUCUCUACAUGGCCUUCCAUAGAUUAUAAUUCCAUAGACCAUCAUUAGAAAUAUAUUUGUAACAAAAGACAACUUAAUCCUGCAGAAAAUAUGUAAUAAUACUUUAGGACUGCGAAGUUGGGAUACAUUUUCCAGUGGAAUCUAAAAUAUUGUACAUAUUGUAUUUGUUUACUUAUGUGCUGAUAAGAACAUUGAGAAUAACCGCAAAAACAAACUUGUGAUGACUGGCUUCUGUAAAUGGUGUCCUUGUAUAGCUUCCGAACACAAACGCUUUUACACUACAUGUCAUCAUUGACACCUAACUUUGAGUGUCUAAGCACUCGUUGACGUGGAAUUGGGGAUGGAACCAUAUUUCCUCAUUGAAGGAAGACCACGCUCUUGACUUGGCCAGUCGCCCAUUGACUCUCUAGUUUUCUUGUUGAAGUGUCCUUCUGCAUACUUGGGAUUCUAAUCUUAAAUUGCUCCAAUGCGCCUGACCUCCUAGGAAGCCAGGUCAUGUAACCAAUUUUGAAGGCAAAUAAUAUUCUUAAGCAUGCCAAUUAUUGCAUUAUGAAGCACCUCAGUAAAUGAGUGAGGAGGAAAGGCUGAAGGUUAUGGCACAGAAAGAAAAAAAAAAGCAAAUUCAUUAUGGAGGUAAAUAAUAAGAAACAGUUUCAUUAUCACUCCCUUGUUCUUUGAUGCAUUCACAGGGGAGCUUAUUAGUCUCAUUAUUAUGCAUACAUUACAAAUUCAGGCACCCCCACUGACUUUUAUUUAUAUCAUAAACAUCAUGUCAACUUUCCUGGAGAUGUGUGCACGUCUGAGGGUGGCAGCGCCUGUGGAGAAAAGCAGGCUAAUUGAUUGUCAUUGCAGCAUGUAACAUAUCUCAAGGUCUGCUGAACAGACAGCUCCUUAUUUAUUAGAGGGGUAAAAGUUUGGCAUCGAAAAGUUUCCUGUGACCCUUUCUGGCUGCAUGUUAGUUGAGCCACAGCUGUUUAUAUGAAGUGCAAUAACAUUUCCAUUAUAGAAAUGAAGGAAUGUGUGUUCAGAUAAGGGCUGCAGCCAUUCACAGUUCAUAAUUAUAUCUAUGAAACGUAAUGGGUUUAAAUUAUCCAUGUAAUUGUGAGCCAGGAGAGAUGAUAAAAAGUUUAAGUUAAAAAUAAAGUGCACCAGCGAACGGAAAGUGACUAUAUAUGUAUGUGCAUGUGGAGUAUGAAGAAAGUGACCGGUGGGAUGUCAGAGUCAGUCAGUGGGGGACUGGCUCUGUUGAUGAGCCCGACUGCAAACGGGAAGAAACUGUUGGUGUGGCGGGAGGUCUUAGCCCUGAUGGACCUCAGCCUCCUGCCAGAUGGAAGGGGUUGUCCGGGGUGAGAGGGGUCGGCUACCAUCUUUUUAGCUCGCUUCAGAGACCUGGACGGGAACAAGUCCUGCAGGGACGGAAGAUGCAGCCGAUCACCCUCUCUGCAGCAGGCAUGAAAAUCCCUCACCUUUCGGCGAAAUUUGCCGUUUUGAAACCAAAAUAGGUGCCCUACGUGAAGUGUAGAUUCGAUGAGGUGUUUUUUCGGGGGGUAUUCAUAUUCAGUGAACUGCUUAACAGGUGCGCGUGUCAGAAGGGAGCGCGAGAUUGCCCGCCUGAAGGACUCUCAGACCAUGAGAAACAAAAUUCUCUGGUCGGAUGAAACAACGAUUGAACUCUUGGCCUGAAUGCCAAGCGUCAUGUCUGAAGGAAACCAGGCACUGCUCAUCACCUGGCCAAUACCAUCCCUACAGUGAAGCAUGGUGGUGGCAGCAUCAUAAUUGUGGUGGAAGAUUUUGCACAGACAAUCGUUAAGUAAGAAACAAAGGCUCUGUAUCAAGUAUGUCUUUUCUCCGUUUAUUUCCUUGCAAGGGAAAAAGGGUCACAACAGCUACGUUGUCAGUAGACUGUCAAGAACCUCCUUUUCUUCCCAACACAUCGAGGCAGUUCUUAUACCUAAGUUUAGAUAUCGGUGGCGUCAACAGAAACCUUUGACCAUCUUGUUGAGUAUCUACAGUCAGGGUACUGGGAACAUCUUAUCCAUGUAAGACACAUCAGCUCUUUGACCGUGUCCUUGCUCUCCCAACAUGCUAAAACAAAGGUGGUCAUAGACAUAACAAACACUUUGUUCAAUCUCUACAGCUAUGACGCUGGAAACAUCUAAUCCAAGUGGGAGACAUCAGUUCUUAUGUCAGGGCCUUUGUGAUCUAACCACUUGCAACUAAUAAACUGGUUAUACAAAUGAAGCAUUUAAAAGGGUCACAUAUCAUUUUCCCAUUACAUUCUACUCUUUUCAACUAUGCAUUCAAUUUAGAAUGACUACUCUAAAAAUGUACCAUCUGAUAUUUACCUCAUCAAAUAUCACAAAACAUGAACAUCUGGACAUCGCUCACAAAACUUUGCCUGCCACAGAACAAAAACUCCCCAAAAAAACCUCAGAAAUGGGAAAAUAGAAAGAAAUCUGUUAGGAGAAGAUAAAGACUGGAAACCUUCUCACAGGAUUUGAGCGUUACACCCCAGAUGUCAUGUGUACAGUAUUGAAAUAAAAAAGAAAUGAAAACAUGUUUAAAUCACAAUACCAGAACUUGAUCCCCUUUCACACAAUACAGAUAUAGAAUAUUGUGGAAAGGUCAUUAUAUCAAUCAUAUUUACGUUACAUACUAAUAAAUGCAGGGAUAAAAGCUGUUUUUGUGAGAAUGUUAUUUCUCAUUCUUUUAGCAAGCUACUGUGAAACAAAAAACAUUUAGAACACCAGGAAUGCACACAGACAGUGUGUCACUACGUCACUAUGCGUAUGUGUCGAGUCCGAGUCACUGUUGGGGUUAACGUCAGAGUCGUUCCAUGAUAAGAGAGAACCACUCUUUAGGUAGCGGACUACGGAAUCACAAAAAGAUGCUGAGAUACAAUGAAACUGAAGCAAGCAAUAAUAUGAAUAAAACCGUAGUGACACAAACGACUACUGUGUCUAUGUGGAGGGGUCCUGGCCGUGUUCUUGUUCUUGUGUUGGUCCGCAGGUACACGUUGGGGUGUGGAGUCUGCCAACCUUCUUUCUUGUGAGGCAUCCGCGUUGUAGACAGUCAACACAGAUCACAAUGCACUGUGUGUCUGUCGGUCAACUGCCCGUCCGUGGUCACUGGAUCGGUGGUGUCGGUUGAUUGACACUUGUUGUGGAGGUAGGGUCGCCUGAGCCCACUGCUGGUACUGGAUCUGGAACCUUCUUGCAAUGGGAUGCUUGGACCCAAGUUGCCCUUUCAGCUACCUUGACCGCUGUUUGGGUGACCAGGAGAAUCUGGAAUGGACCCUGCCACCGUUUAGCUUUCCAACUUUUCCUCCUGAAGUCCUUCACCACCACGAAGUCACCUGGUUGCAGUCAGUGUAGUGGACCCGUUGCUUCUCUUGGAAGUGCAGCUACAACCUGUUUUCUUACAUCAGACAAAGUGGAAGACAGUCGAAUGCAAUAGGUUAACAUGUCAUUCUCGCACAUUGUGGUGGAAGGGAGUGGUGUUCCUGGAGCUUCCACACCUAUAUGGGGAGGAACUGCGAAAAGGAUUUCAAAUGGGCUUAGGUUGCUGCGUGUUCGUUUCCUCGGCACAACUCUGUGAAUGUCCUUGAGUGGCCCAGCCAGAGCCCCGACUUGAACCCCAUUGAACAUCUCUGGAGAGUCUGGAGAGUGUUAAAUAUUUAACAUUUAUUCAGUUUAACCUAAUAAGGACAUCUUAUUCAAACAAUUCAGUAUAUCAAUCAAUAUAUAUAUAAAAAAACAACCUAAAAUGUUAUUUCCAAGGAACAUUUUUAUGUCUGGCCAAAAUGUCUUAUUCAUGAUGCUAGUGGAGGCCUCGAAGUAUUCCCAUGCAGUGAUUUUCAAAAGACAAUAGUACAACCUAUUGGCAUAGGGAAAUGCAAAAGUUCAAAUUCAUAGUCAAAACGAAGGUGCUUUUGAGGGACUAAAUAUGCUCUAAUCUUUACUAAACUUGGAAAAUACAUUUACAGUUAAAGAUGUAGUUACCUCAUAUGAUUUUAAUGCUGACAAAUAGCAUUUUGGCUCGAUAGCACCCCAAAAAAGGUCUCUUGGGACUAUGCUCUAAAAUUAACAGGAAGUCAGUCAUUCUUUUUGUGUGAUAUUUCCUCUAUUUUUUGCACUUACUAGACGCUAUACUUUGACAAACUCCUCCCUGGGACUGGGACAGAACAAUCUCAUGGUUAUUAAAGGUUAAUAAAACCCUUUUGUUUUGUGUUAUGCUGUUGCCAUGGCAAAGGUGCUUUUGAAGAUCUACAUAUGCUCCAAUUUUACCAAGUUAAAGAUGUAGUUACUUGAAAUGAUUUAAAUUCUUAAUAAUGCCAUUUUAGCUCAAUAGUGCCCCUUACACGUAUUCAUAAAGCACCCCCAGCAACUGCUUUGAUCCUCCAAUUGGAGGCCACGGCUUUGAUCUAGCUUUGCAGAUUUCUCCCCCAUAUCAGCAGAGUAGGCUUGAAAACAAUGAAACAUGUUGGUCAAAUGUCCCACUGUGACUGACAUGACUGGACCUCUGUCCAAAUGAUCCACUUGAUAAAAGCAGAGGUCUGUGCAGUCACUUGACCACAGCUCUGCUCUCUUCAGGAAGCCACCCUCGUUGCCGUUCAGAUUUAAAUAACGGUCAGCAGAGACACAUUCAGUGUGUUCAGUUAACAAAAUGUAUCUGCCAGACCUCUACUCAAUCAGAAAGGUGUUGUGGUGGCGGGCGUGGUUUGGCUCGGCUGCAGAGGGGACGGAGACGGCAGUGGUUCGGGGAACGGUGCCAGGAGGAGGCAUAAUUGGCCUCAGGUGUUUAAUCAGUGUGUGUGUUUGUCCUGCUGUUAUGUAGGAGAGAUCCGGCGACGGCGAGAGGGGGCUGGGCCGACGAGGAAGCCGGAGCCAAUCGUGUGUUAUUUGGAAACGUGUGAAUAAAAGCACAUACAAUGGACCCAACUGCUGCGUGCUCGUCAUUCCGAGACCCUCCCGUAGGACGAACCUGCCACAGGUGUGGACUUCACAGGUUAAUACAUCUCUGUUUUCUCUGCAAAUUUUAGUACAGCAUGGCCAGUAGCCUAGUGGUGAGGCAGGGCUGUCAAACUCAUUUUAGGUUUGGGUCAGAUACUGGGCAAUUUGAUCUAAAGGCCCGUUCAUCGCUUCUUGCAGCUUUAAUUAUUAUUUACCAUGGCCGUUGUAUAUAGAGCAACAGGGGGGAAUUUUGUUUUGGGGUCGUGUAGGCAGAUGGCGAAGCAGUCAGUGCUCUGAGGCGAUUGCCUUACAUGGCGAACCAAACUAACUGUGGACAGAGGACUACGCUGGAAGCUGAGAGGACUGCGGCGAGGUAGCGCAGAGGGGGGUGGGGGAUGCUCGCGGCGCCACGUCACGCUUUCCGCCUGAGGCGGAGCUUUGCUUGCCAAUUUUGGAGACGGUGGGAGUUAUUUCUGUCGGUUAAUUUUGUUAUAUUAGACUAAAGCAGUGAAAGAUGUCCAUUAACAGUCGAUCUGCCCAUUCCCUUUUAAGUUAAACCGGAGGGGGAAUUGUUACACAGUAAGGGAUGAAACUUGGUGAGUGGUCUUGUAUGUUCAGUGAAGAAGUAACACGACCCCCCCCCCCCUCCUGCCUGUGUCACACGGAUGAGUAACUUUUGACAUUGCUAUUACUGCUAUAAAAUGUGUUGACACAUGUUUGAUGGAUGGAUGACCAAAAACCAUUUUGCCAUUGUGGUAGUGAAAACUGAAAUCCAUCACAUGAAACACAAAGUAAAUAGCUGAAAGAAUUGGAAGUAUCCAUUUUAUUUUAGAACUAGAAGCACAUUGGAACAAUGGGCUGUGUUCUAAAUCUAGUCACAUCCGUUUAGUCUCAUUCACAAAGACGACACCAUCAUCAAGCUACCGGACAGCAUCAGCCUAGCCUCAAUGUCAUAGACAUCUUAGGAUAAUCAUACAACGCUUUAACUCAGUGACACGUCAUUACUACAAUUGGAUGUAGUAACGAUAUUCUGCACUUUUGGGAUUAGUUUUACAGACAUCUGCCCGCUAUAGUAUCCCCACAAUAUUCAACAAGCUAACAGCCUUGGCUAUGGAGUAGUGGACUGGCUUUUUGUGUGACAAUUCAAGUAGAUAAUGUUUACUUUUGGCAUAUAAGAAAUGAAAAAUAGCAAAAACUCAUAGUGGCCACUACAUCUCACAAAGUUGACUUGAAUUUGUUCAACAAAAACAAAAAGAACAGCGGGUCAAUGGAGCCUCAGACCCCUCCACGUAUGGGCCAGCUAGUUUCCCUGCCACGGCGGAGUGCUAGAUUGAACAGCAGGUGAGUCGUGACCAUGAUUCACCGGGGAAGCUAGUGCCUGAUAGCCAGUAGCAUGGCAUCGAAAGCGUCAUGGUCAUCGCUACCACAAACUACACAUGGAUCCCUAAACUUGGAGUUGCUGCCAUUCCUUAGUCCAGGCGGCCUAGAAUGCUGAGAGGAACCCUGCUUUAACAAGCGCGGCUCGUCGAGGGGGGAGGAGACAGCAGUUUGAACGUGGCUGUGCAGAUUUGUUGUCUUGGAAGAUCUCAAGGAGUUGUCAUGAGUCUUAUUUUGUCUUUGUCGUCCUUCCAGUAGUCAACUGCUGUCUCAGCCAAGAAUGGCUUGGUGUCAUAAAAGUCAGCUAUAUAAUAUUUGCGCUAGGACUGGAGAUUCACCAUAGAAACGGUGAACAUCUGCUAAUACAGCAGUGGUUGUAACAACAAUCUUGCCUUCAGUUACUGAAGAACUGUGCUUGAUAAAGUGCAUCAUGAUGAGCUUGAUGUAAAACAGUUACGGAUAGUCAGCAGUACUGGAAGCCAGGAGCUAAUAGCGGACAAGAAGAUAAUCGUGAUUCAUGGCCGUGAUCAGUUCUUAAAUUGCUAAUGAGCUACAUACCUAUUGUGUUAGUGAAAUUUCAUCUCUAGAAGGCCUCACACCCAAAUGAGGUCUGUCAUCAAAAUAAGUCAGACUAUGUAGUUCAAGCUAUAUAAAAAGUAAGAAGUCACAAAUUGAAUCACAUGAAUAAUAUUCGUUUCGUUCGACAGACUGAACCCAGACUGUCAGACCCAGAUGUAGUAAAAUCCCCUCAGGGGCCAUCAAAAUCAACGCGAGUGAAAGCUCGUCAUGGUAGUGGUUUCAGGAUUUGUCCAAUUUGGUGAACGGGGCUUGUGCAGCAAUCAGACUCUUCUUUUUGUUUCUUACACCACUGAUCGCAUGAGGGAGGGUUGGGGUCAGAGACCGGUAUAUGCAGUGGCGGCUGGCUCAUAAAAUAGUAAAUAUUGGUGUGAUUUUGAUAUCUCAUGUCUCAGCUGGGCUCGGGCCAGGCCUAAAAGAGGCAAGUCUAAGAAGCAGUUUAGCCAAUUAUUACUGAUUACCUAAAGAUAAACCAGUGACAUAAUUUAGCCAAUAAACUGGCCCCCAGGCCGCGCUCUCGUCAGGACGAGUGAGAGCAGUAUUCUUCCAAGAAGACCCAACCUGAACUCUGUAAAAUCUCUCCUCCAUGAACUGUUGACGGAGAAAUGAGCCAACGGACCGGCGUGAAAGGGAAGCCGCACAUACUAAGCUUCUGCAAAAAUGCUACACCGGAAGGUUUGGCUAGAAAGAUGUAGUCGUGCUAACGUCGUGGUUAGCUUCCCAUGCUCACUUUUUAAAUCAACGGGGACAGAAUAAUUCAUUAUGUAGUUUUGAAGUGCUUUUGAGUUGGUCUUUCCAUAACACACUAGGUUCAUCUCAGUAUGUAUGUAUGUAUGUAUGUAUGUAUGUAUGUAUGUAUGUAUGUGUAUGUAUAUGUGUGUGUGUGUGUGUGUAUGUAUGUGUGUAUAUAUAUAUAUAUAUAUAUAUAUAUUUCACACAUGUUCACACUAACGACGUUAGAUAUAUAAAUAUAAUUAUAAUAUAUUUAUUCUGAUAUUCAUUACACCUAUGUUUAUUAAAAUAUAUUUAUACUGACUUGUAUGAAUGAGAUUAUUAUCAUGUCAUUAUUUUAGGAAUAAACCUUAAUUUUUUAACUGAAAUCUUUAUUGGCAAGACUGAACGUCUCCAAGACACAAAUACAUACAAACUAUGAAGAUUAUCUAGAACUCCCUUCACAGAAAGUGAGGCUACAAAAAUUAACAAAAGUCACUUCACUCUAGGAGGAAAAACAAAAAAACUGAACUUUAUCAAGAUAGCGGGUAAGCACUCUUUUGACAGAGGCACUAUGAAAGAUUAACAAAACAAAAUCACUCCUACGGAGAAAACUGACCAUUCAACUAAAUCUAUGCUACAAAAUUGUACAAAAUCCCUCUUGGAGGAAAACAUCGGGGCAGAACGCAAUGACUUGGUUUCAAAGUCGUAACUAUGGCGAUGCUGGUGUGAACGCAGAUACACAAUGGGACAGGACAAAGGGAAACGCAGACUAUCAGUACACAAGGACAACAGGUGGACACAAUCAGACUGGGGACACAUGACGGAGGGUACGUAACCUGAAACGAGAGCAGAGUUACUAUUUCAAAAUAAAACAGGAAAUGACAAGAUAAAAACACCAGACAAAAUAAAACAAACCACUUCACCGCGGUGUGACAGCUUGUUUAAUACCUUUCUUGCAUUGCAUCAAACUGGGAUGUUCACUGAAACUGAUUCGCUGAACCUACCAAAAGAAAGCGAUGCGUGGGCGACACAAGUCAAUGCCUGCAUGCCUCGCUGAGCUGGUAUUUCCAGAUUUCAGUAUUUGCAGCAAUCUGUAGAAUGUCAGAGGUUUAAUAUAGCGGGUAGAUAGAUGCACCGUGAAGCAUACUAAUCCCGGACCAAGCCUAGUAGCUCCCCACCACAUUAAGAAGUCAUAGAUGGGAUAUUUUCAUUUGCGAUUCCUAUUCCAAGUUUGAAACCUUGUCUAUAACAGAAUGGGGUAUGUGUUAUUUUGGGCCAAUUCAGUUUCUCUCAGUUAAAUUAAUAUGUACAAAAGAACAUUAAGGUGAAGAAGCUUUUCAUUUAAAUACUUUUAUUUGUUUUGUCCCCAUUCGAUCUCAUAUCACAUUUUCCAUCCAUGCACCAGAUGCCUCAAACGUGAACUCCAUUCCCCCUCACCUACCUCCCUAUUUACCCGCUCACUUGUACCCAGUUACUUCAUAUAAAAUAUAAAAAUCCGCCUGUACAGCAGUUGCUCGCCUUAAAUGGAUGUGAUCUUGCAAAUCCGUCAGGAACCAGCCAUUGAAAUUCACCGAAAGCUGCCUCAAAACCCAAGGAAAAAAAUACAGGUUCACAAAAAAAACCCUAAAAGGUUCCGCCUGUCUUUCUGUCCUGAACCAGGAUUUCAAAACUGCUGCCACUUGUUGACGGUGAAGCCAUUGGAAUCAAAUUCAGUAGCACACAUCAGAUAUGUCACACAGGCAAGAAGUCAAGCAAUUGUGAGGAAAGAACGUAAGGACGUCAUUUCCAUUGGGGUUGUGGAGGGCGGAGCUGGCGGCUAGCACCCAUUGGCUGCCAACAUGGCGAGGGCGGAGCCGCAGAUGGAAAUAGUGCUGACAAAGCUUUCAGUGGUUCCCUCUAAAGAAACCUUAGGGAACUAUACAUUGUCUCCACUUUAUCACAAAAGGGGUUGAUUGAUGAAUUAUCUGAAUGUUAUUAAAAUAAUCUUUAACUGUCACCCAGGCAGCUAGGUUUUUAGCCUAACAGCACACACCUGACCCAACGUGGUGACUGGGUGCUGGUGGGGUAGAGCUGCUUAUAAUUGCAUCCAUUUAUUAAACCCAGGUCAGUUUCACCGUACUAGAUGACACCAUCCUAGGAUGCAGCUGCUGACUAGGAUGUCAGCACUGUUAGUUUGCCGUGUUGGGAAUGGAAAGGCACGGAUUUUAGAAGGUCACCAGCAGAAGCUUGGAGUUUGACCUGACGCUUUCACAAAGCCAGAGACUGAAAUAAGAUGUAGCUUAUACUUUAGUGUGGAGGCAGUCAACAGAAAAGCAGCAUUGGAUACAACACAUUUUCAAAUAAGUCAACAAAAUAAAUGGAAAAGCACAAAACCAGAGGAUAUGUUCAUUCCUGAAUGCUAGACAUGUGGUAGAUGCAUCAUACUGUAUACUACCAAAGAGUCACUGGUGUUUUCCUGGUGAUUCCUUAUUUACAUGAAUGAACGUGCUAAAAGGGCCUGGAGCAACAAUGAGCCCUUAGGCCUCUAUUGAUUCCAGUUCAUUUCCCCAGUAAAUUAGAACACUGACUGGGCCCAGACUCUUUGUUUUGUUAUUUAAAUAACAUUAUUUAAAAAAUAAACGCCAUGAGUAGUAAAGUGUUAGAACACUGUUGAAUAAAGUAGACGUUGAUCCUGACAAAGAGCCACUGCUGAUGAAAGCAUGACCUUCUGUUUAUUGCUUUAAAUGGAGCGAGCUCUACUGCAGCCACGCAACAGUAAGUUAAAACAAACAAACAAGGAUUUUUACCCCCGGGGAAAUCUUCCCAUGCGCUGUGUAAAAGCCAGUCCCUGCUGACUUAUUAUGCAUACUUCACUGAUGCCAUGUGCAUACGUUAAGUAAAAUCAUGCUUAUUUUAACUGAAUCAUCACUAAGCGGGGUUGUUGCUUCAACCAGUUACAAACUGCAGGGGCUUGAACAGGAGUAUUGAUUACUUGUGUUGCUGGGAAUUGAUGGACCUUUUAUGCAGCAAAUUGUUUUGUCUGAUUUAGCAGGAAAUUGGGUUCCCACCCGACACACGCUGUGAGCACAAAAUGUGGCAUAGUUGCAGGUAGUGAUGGGGCAAUUUUGUUGUGCAUCUCCCAAAGUGCAAAAGGCAAUAACAUUAUAUUUAUAGGAAACCCUUUGCCAGAACAAAACUAACAAAAAAAGUUGUCAUUUCUCAUCUCUCAAAAUUACUUUUACCUUCCGCCUACCACUAAACUUGCCGUUAGUAACCGCUGUGGUUCAGAGGCUAGUUAACGUUAGCCGUUACAUGCAAUAAAGCAACGCUAUGAGACAAAUUCUGUGAAGCGUCGAGCAGUGAAGUUGUCUCUAUAGACGUAUUUCCAGGUUAUUUAAAGUGCUACAGCUUUCAGUACAAUUCCAUCAACAGAUAGAAACAUUUCAUCUAAAGCUCUUUAAGAAUCAAUCAAUACUUAUUCUCUUUGAUCGCUUCUGGUCCACUUAUUUCAUUUCCAUACUGCACCUUAUCCCCGUUUAGCUACUGCUAAAACGCUCUUAUCAAGGAAUCUAGUGGCUUCAGUCCCUUUAUUGGCUAGCAAAUUAUUAACGGUGACUGUAGUAUCUGUUCAUCACUUCAGAUGGAAAGUGCAGAUGAGAUGCACCUCUGUCAAAACACUUUUCCACCAAAUUGUGAACGAUUUAUUAUUGCCUCCUUUUCAGGAAAUUGGCUCUGCGGUCUCUAUGAAUUAGGAUCCUCUUCACCUGUUCAGAUUCAAGCAGUUUAUCACGGUGGUAAAGAUGCCCCGCGUAUUGUGAACUUUAUUACCUCUUUUCCAGAUUGAAACUAACUCCCGAUGGCACAGUGUUUUCAAAACUGGAACACGUGUCAUCAAUCGAUUGUCUGACUUCUCUGCUCCUCUGAGGGAGAAGGAACACGGCCCCUUUUUAGCUGAAUUCAGUCAUGAACUCCAGUCGGUUCUUAUGGCUCAUGUUUGAUGACUUCUGUAUUCUUUAUGAUUUUCCUGUACAUUUAGUCUGAAAUAUAUACCUCAAAACAAACUUAAGGCCUUAACAAGGCUUAAGAUACUUUUCCACAUGGUCAGCCACUUAUUUCCACCACAACUAUCAUUAUUGCUCAUCUGAAAUACAUGUGAGAAUCAGAAAACCCCAAUAUUAUUCUUUGUAAAUUAACGUCUAAUUAAAGUCAAAAGAUUUUUAUAUGUAGGGAAACAGAGUGAAGUCACAACUUGGAUCACCAUCUCAUCAUCCAUCCAGACCUAAAGUUUGCCAGUUGGCUGUAAAGGUAAAGCGAGUUUUAGUGGAGCUCCGGCGGCUUCCACAAAAUCUCUGGCCCAUAUACGGUUAUUGAAGUCCUCCUUUUCACACGUCCUACGUCGUCAACGCGUUCAGCUCAGGGAUUGGCUGAGCGGUGGUACGGAACCUCAAACCGCACCUCGUAACGGAUUUCCUACCUUUCGACAGCCAUUACCUGUUCGAAAAAUUCAAUCUUAGUGGCACGUGGUGUUCUGGUUAAACCGAUGUUCAGGAUGAUUGAAACAGGAUAUUAUCCUAAGGAACCUCUGUUGCCUAGGUGACAAAGACAGGGGGAGAAGGGGGGGUAAUGUUAGCGAGUAGGAGACGCUCUCUGAUUCCUCCCUCACUGUCCGUCCCUCGGCUCUUUCAUGACUGAUAGCUUCAGAUGUCCCACAUGACGGUUCCCCCGAUAUCAGCCAGUCUAGCACAUUUGUGUGAAUGUCGCUGAGUGGAUGAAGUUAGCUGUUAGCUACACAAACUAUGCUUACGUUAAGUAACUGUAGCAGCGAUGGAGCUACACCCGCAGGAUCUUUUGGAGGGACGCAUGGAUACGACUUUAUUUAUUCAUUUAUUUGGUGUGAGCCGCGAAGGAAACCUUCGAGAAUCGUUGAUGCACGAGCCGACCCCGAAUCAACCUUGGUGGGACGAGACACGAUGGGCUUGGGUUUGCGACAAUCAGUAAAAUACAGCGUGUGCGAUUUCAGCAGUUCAUUACACACAUCUCUUGACAAGAGAAGCCCAGAGAGGGUGCUGACACGGGGAGGACAGGCACACUGAGCUGUGGAGAUGCAAUUUUUCAUCUUGGGACUUUGUGUGCAGAUAGAAUUUCUACACUCAAUAUUUGUGCGCUGCACCCAAUAACCGAAAAGGAGCAUUAGCCUCUCAACAAAGACAUGGUUAUUCUAGUGCUUUGACCUUGAAUGUUAAUCACAUGGCUCACAUGCACCUUGUUGACCCAGUGAGCUCCAGCAUUUCUUGUCACAUUUGAUAACAAGUGGAUAUUCAUCUGCAAAGUGACAUUGGUAUAAUAAAAACACAUCACGUCUCCUCUACCAGGAUCUUUUUGUCACGUUUAAUUACCAAGAAAGCCAAGCAUCAAUUACUGCAGUUGACAUUUGCAGUUUUGCGCAAAUAUCAAAGAGGACUUCUGGGGGUUAUUUUCAGCCGUGGAGGUAACAUGCAUUUUCACCCUGCAGGCAGGGAUGAAGAAAUAGAGUAGAUGAAUAGACGAGAGCAGACAACCGGGGGAGGGGGGACAGUGAUAAAUGAGCUGACAAAUGUUGUUUGUGUAAGAUCAUGAUAGCCGUGAGAGAGCUAUAAUCCACACUAGCGAUCUGUGCCAGAGGGACACAUGCAAAGUGAUGAGAGAGAGAGACCACCAACCAAGAUGAGGCUUCUCUAAUGAAGGCUCUUCAUACGAUGUACGACUCAAUUAACUUUGUGAAUUAUUUUAAUUUGAUAGCAUUCCCAUAUAUUAUAUAUUUUUUAGCAGUGCACCCCAUAAUACUAUAACACUUUCAGAAUAUGAAUGCGGCAUCUGCAGAGGUGGUACACGAUGUACGCAUAUACGUGUCUCUACUGCAGUGUCAAGUGAACCUGCCAGAAGGGAUGGAAAACCCUUUUCAAGUAAUUCAACAAACUUAACUUUUUGCAGAGAUGAGACAUACUGAAGAAAAAGAUCACAAAUAGUUAACAUGGCAUAGGUAGUUGACGGCCUGUAUUGCAGGAGAUUAACCAUUAUUGUUAUAGUUUGAACAUUGUAGCUGUGGUUGAAACAUACUUAUGUUUGGGUUGUUAACUUUUAUGCGAGCGAGUAACAUUUGUUAUCUCAUAGCUGAUUUUAAUAUCAAACAGCUUAAGGAGGAAAAUCUACAGUUCCAAAAUCUGAAAGAAGACAAAGUAUUGUCCACCUGCCUGGAGGAGAUAAAGGCGUGGAUGAAGCAAAGCUUUCUGCAGCUAAACAGCUCCAAGACUGAAGCCAUCUUAGGCGGCACUC